This 597-nucleotide ribosomal RNA is filed under the name uncultured fungus. Its description in RNAcentral is "eukaryotic LSU rRNA". The stretch from base 256 to 409 matches the Rfam family "5.8S ribosomal RNA". The record is from RNAcentral. Lineage: Eukaryota; Fungi.
UGGCUCCUUAAGAUAUAGUCGGGCCCGGUGAGCAGUCACCGGGAGUUCUGCGUCCGUAGGUGAACCUGCGGAAGGAUCAUUACAAGUGAGGCUAUCGACCGUUGGAAACGGCGGUUAGAAGCUUACACCCACCCGUGUUUACAUACUAUUGUUGCUUUGGCGGGCCGUGGCCUCACUGCGGGCUCUGCUCGUGUGUGCCCGCCAGAGGACCAAAUUCUGAAUGUUAGUGAUGUCUGAGUACUAUUUAAUAGUUAAAACUUUCAACAACGGAUCUCUUGGUUCUGGCAUCGAUGAAGAACGCAGCGAAAUGCGAUAAGUAAUGUGAAUUGCAGAAUUCAGUGAAUCAUCGAAUCUUUGAACGCACAUUGCGCCCCUUGGUAUUCCGAGGGGCAUGCCUGUUCGAGCGUCAUUACAACCCUCAAGCACUGCUUGGUGUUGGGCCUCGCCGGUUUUGGCGGGCCUUAAAAUCAGUGGCGGUGCCGUCUGGGUUCUGAGCGUAGUAAAUAUCCUCGCUACGGAGACCAGGCGGUUCUUGUCAUCAACCCCCAACUUCUUAAGUUUGACCUCGGAUCAGGUAGGGAUACCCGCUGAACUUAA